Molecule: ribosomal RNA, 442 nt
Filed under: uncultured bacterium
Lineage: Bacteria
Description: partial 16S ribosomal RNA
Rfam family: Bacterial small subunit ribosomal RNA
Source: RNAcentral
CCUACGGGUGGCAGCAGUAGGGAAUCUUUCACAAUGGGCGAAAGCCUGAUGGAGCAACGCCGCGUGCAGGAUGAAGGCCUUCGGGUUGUAAACUGCUUUUAUAAGCGAGAAAUAUGAUGGUACCUUAUGAAUAAGGAUCGGCUAACUACGUGCCAGCAGCCGCGGUCAUACGUAGGAUCCGAGCAUUAUCCGGAGUGACUGGGUGUAAAGAGUUGCGUAGGUGGCAUAAUAAGUAGCUAGUGAAAUCUGGUGGCUCAACCAGUCAGACGAUUGGCUAAACUGUUAAGCUCGAGACCGUUAGGGGUAACUGGAAUUUCUGGUGUAGGAGUGAAAUGCGUAGAUAUUAGAAGGAACACCAAUAGCGUAGGCAGGUUACUGGGACGGUUCUGACACUAAGGCACGAAAGCGUAGGGAGCAAACGGGAUUAGAUACCCGGGUAGUC